UACGUAGGUGACAAGCGUUGUCCGGAUUUACUGGGCGUAAAGAGCGCGCAGGCGGUCGUUCAAGUCGAGUGUGAAAGCCCCCGGCUCAACUGGGGAGGGUCACUCGAUACUGAUCGACUUGAAGGCAGGAGAGGGAAGCGGAAUUCCCGGUGUAGUGGUGAAAUGCGUAGAUAUCGGGAGGAACACCAGUGGCGAAGGCGACUACCUGGCCUGUUUCUUGACGCUGAGGCGCGAAAGCUAGGGGAGCAAACGGG
RNAcentral lists this ribosomal RNA (254 nucleotides) under uncultured bacterium. RNAcentral's name for it is "partial 16S ribosomal RNA". It matches the Rfam family "Bacterial small subunit ribosomal RNA", at positions 524 to 776 of the family's 1533-position model. The record is from RNAcentral.